UACAGAGGUCUCAAGCGUUGUUCGGAUUCAUUGGGCGUAAAGGGUGCGUAGGCGGCGCGGUAAGUCGGGUGUGAAAUCUCGGAGCUUAACUCCGAAACUGCAUUCGAUACUGCCGUGCUUGAGGACUGGAGAGGAGACUGGAAUUUACGGUGUAGCGGUGAAAUGCGUAGAUAUCGUAAGGAAGACCAGUGGCGAAGGCGGGUCUCUGGACAGUUCCUGACGCUGAGGCACGAAGGCCAGGGAAGCAAACGGG
RNAcentral lists this ribosomal RNA (253 nucleotides) under uncultured bacterium. RNAcentral describes it as "partial 16S ribosomal RNA". It matches the Rfam family "Bacterial small subunit ribosomal RNA", at positions 524 to 776 of the family's 1533-position model. The record is from RNAcentral.